UACGUAGGUGGCAAGCGUUGUCCGGAAUUAUUGGGCGUAAAGCGCGCGCAGGCGGCCUCGUAAGUCUGAUGUGAAAGCCCCCGGCUCAACCGGGGAGGGCCAUUGGAGACGGGGAGGCUUGAGUAGUGGAGAGAAGAGUGGAAUUCCACGUGUAGCGGUGAAAUGCGUAGAGAUGUGAAGGAACACCAGUGGCGCAGGCGACUCUUUGGCCUAUAACUGACGCAUAGGCGCGAAAGCGUGGGGAGCAAACAGG
Molecule: unclassified non-coding RNA, 253 nt
Filed under: uncultured Caryophanales bacterium
Lineage: Bacteria; Bacillati; Bacillota; Bacilli; Caryophanales
Description: uncultured Bacillales bacterium contains 16S-23S intergenic spacer region
Rfam family: Bacterial small subunit ribosomal RNA
Source: RNAcentral